This 74-nucleotide transfer RNA is filed under the name Akkermansia muciniphila. RNAcentral describes it as "tRNA-Arg". It matches the Rfam family "tRNA". From Rfam's summary of the family: Transfer RNA (tRNA) molecules are approximately 80 nucleotides in length. Their secondary structure includes four short double-helical elements and three loops (D, anti-codon, and T loops). RNAcentral also lists the same sequence under 1 other name. The record is from RNAcentral. Lineage: Bacteria; Pseudomonadati; Verrucomicrobiota; Verrucomicrobiia; Verrucomicrobiales; Akkermansiaceae.
CGCAGGGUGGUGAAACGGUAUCACGCGGGGUUCCUGUCCCCGAGUCGAAAGUCCAACUCUUUCCCCUGCAACCA